This is a long non-coding RNA of Motacilla alba alba, 8103 nucleotides long. RefSeq lists it as uncharacterized. The record is from RefSeq and is a predicted model, not a curated record. NCBI's taxonomy places the organism in Eukaryota, Metazoa, Chordata, Aves, Passeriformes, Motacillidae. The transcript is spliced from 6 exons.
UGGCUGUUCCCCCCCGGGGCGCCCCCUGACGGGCGGCGCGGUUCGGCCCGGCCCGCGCUGGUCCCGGCAGCGCCGGGCGGGACUGGCGGGGCCGCACCGGGCUCGGCUCCUCCUCGGCUGCUGCUGAGCCCCGCUCGGUCUGGCCGUUCCCGCCUCUGUCCUCUUGAAUUUCCGUCGCCCCCCGUUUUGUUUUUUUAAAUUCAAUUUUUUAAUGUGCGGUGUGCGGAAUUUCGUCUCCAUGUGGUUCUGCCCCGCUAAACGGGACGGGUCUAACCCGGCUCGCACGCUCCCUUACAUGCUCAAUCCACACAGGAAGAAGCAGAAGUUUUAACCAUCUUCCCAUGGCAUCUGACUUUUUUGAAGAGGAGGACUUUUCAACCACUUGAUGGAAGAGAAAUAAGAAAUUUGUUUCAAGACUCUUAUGUUGUUCAUCAGUGCUGUUAACAAACGUGAGGCUUGAGGAUACAUUUGCUGCUUCUCUGCAUUUUUGCUGAAGGUGCCUGCAUUUGAAGGAAGGACCUUGCUGUUCCCAGCUCCUCUGGGCAUUAGGUUUCAUGAAUGUCUCUUGGGAAGAGGACAGCUCUGUAGAGCAUGAGUUUCAAAAGUAAUUUUAAAGGUUGCACCCAAGAGAGAAGCAGUGAGAUGCACAGUGGGGAAAAUGGACCCAGCAGUCCAUGCUAUCGUGUACCUGCCUGAAUAUGGGAAAAGACCUAGUACAAAGCCAGAAUGCAGCUGGGCUUGCAGUAUUUUUAACCAUAUUAAGUCCUGUUCAGAGUUAAUGAUGAGCUCAGUGAGAUGGUCUCGGCAAUGCUGAAGAAGGGAAGGACAGAAUUGGAAGGCAGGAGCUAUUUCAAAGCAGCAUUCUUCAUCUUUCUGUAAUGCCCAAACAGGAAGACUUCAUUCCUUGAACUUCAUUCGGUAGAGUAUUGCCAAUAGUGUCAUGUCAGUUGCAUGAUGUAAUAUGGCAUUGCUAUAUUGUUUAGUGAUCAUGUGGAGCUGCAUUAAAUAAAUGAACAUAUGCUUGUGGCUUAAAUGAACAUUAUGGGUGAGAGCAGUAAAUGGAGAAGGUGGGUACUACAGGAAAUGCUAGUAGCUUUCUUAAAGCCACUGUCUUUCUUUUUUCAGCUCUUUCCAUAACCAGUAGUGCUUUUCUUAAUAAAGAUGGAAAAAAACCCCACCAUCUUUUCAUUCAAGAAAUUGAAUCUCGUUCAACUUUUUAACCAGAAAGAUUUCACAGUCCUACUAGCUGUUAGAGCAUCUUAAUGCUUUGUCCAACAGGAAAUUGCACUCACAGUGCUGACCUAUUAACAUCUGUAGUGCAGCAGCAUGUGCUGCUCUUGCUCCUCAGGGCUUGUGAAAUGUCUGCUGUGGCACAGCCCUCUGUGACCUCUUGCAUUGAAGGAUGGAAUUUUUGCGUCCUUUUCUGUCUGGAGCUUGUGGGAGCUCCCUCCUGAGCCAAAUAGUUCUGAAAUACUGCAAAAAAAGAUCUGACAGUGUUUGUCUGGGAGAUGUGACUGACUUAAUUAUUAUUAACAUUUAUUAAGUGCCUUACAAUGGAGUAGAAGAGCCAUUGCCUUCCUUUUUACAAGUAGGAGAACUGGCAUGUAAGAAAGAAUGAAUCUCUUCUAUCUUCUGCAAUUCUUGACCCACCUAAUUAGGUGAUUGUCACAAGAAAUGAGAAGCUGGCCCAGGGGAAUGGCACUGGGGGAAGCUGCUGAUGCGUUCUGUGCGCGCUGCGCUUCCCCCUCUCACAAUGGUGAGCGGGGCUUCCCUCUGUCACUGUCCCUGGGCCAGGGACAAGAUGCAAGGGGGCUGAGGAGCCUGGGGCUGUCUGUUGGAUAGCUUCAUUAUAGAUCUCAUCCAGGGAAAAACUGGGGAGCUGCAACUCAUUUCUAGGAGCUACUUUGGUUUUUAGCAAUUGCUCACCCACUGCCUCCUCAUGCUUCCUUUUGCUGUGGAGUGGCCUUUCCCCACAAUAAGCUGAUUUUCUUCAUGGCAGAUAUUUACUCUUAGUUAGCCUCUAAGGCACUAACUGCUUCUUCUGGUCUAAGACUUCAGUUUCUUUCUUUUUUUUUCAAUAAUUUAUUUUGCUGAGAAAGGGAAUCUGUCCAGCUGCUACAAACAAUAGUGGUUUUGAUGUAUAUCAAUAAAGAGUUAGAGAUGUAUGUUUUCCAAGUAGAAGAUAAAGAGAUUUAAAGCCUGCUUUAAAGGAAGGCAAACCUUGGAGAGGUUUACUUAGAUGUACAAUAUGCCCUAUUCUUUGAUUUUUAAAAACAGUAUUAAGGGAUUUUUUUCAAGAAAAGAGAAAAUAAUUUCAUCUUUUUGGUUGCAUUUUUUUCUUAGUCUCACAGUUGUAAGAUAAAUAUUCAGAAUUAGGAGUUGCUAAGGUUAAUGUGAUUAAAAUGAGUAUGUGAUAACAGGCUCUGCACAUUAAAGAUUAAGAGCUCAAAUUAUAGACUCCAGAGGGAAACACUCCAUGAGCAUUUGUAAAUUUUGUUUGUGCAAAAAAUGCAGGCUUAGGCCUGUGGUUGCAGUUGCACAACAGUUUUAUCCUGUUUUAUCUGCAGAGAAUUCUUUUAAACACUGUAGCAUUGGGGUGAGAAUGUAGCGAGGUGAGGGGACAAAGGAGGAAAUAAUUUUGGUCUAAGCAUUAGUGUUACUCUAUAAAAAUAGAUAGUUUUACACAAUUUAUUCACAUUUACAAAGCUCAGUUUAUAGCAUUCUGAGUGCAGUAGUUAAUUCUUUAUGUAUAAGUUGAUCCUUUAUACAGAUGUAAUUCUAUAUGCAACAUUUAAUCUUUGAAUGUAAGUUGAAAAUAUAUUAGCAAUUAAUUUAUGUAGGUUAUGACUUUCUUUCGUGUAUACUUUGUGGUGGUUCCUACCCUAAAGUUGAGUCAGUGUGUGCUUAAUGAAAAUUAGAUGUGAAAUGUAAUAUGUAGAGGACAAAGAAGCAUUGAAAUCCUUAUUGCUCUUAAAAAGACAAAGGUACCUCAGAUAAUUUUCCUUUCUUAAUCUCUUGAGAAUUUGAUGAUAAUUCUGUUAUGAGCAAUUUGGAGCGAAUAAAAUAUUUUUAGAAGUAGUAUUAGUACCAGAUAUUAUUUCUCACCUUUUAUGAAGCAUAGUUUGGUUUUAAAAUUUAAAAUGCUUUGCAUUUUGAGAGGCUCAUUUAUAGGCAGUCUUCCACUUAAAAGGAAAAGCACCUUGGACGUUUGUGGAGGGGCAAGCCUUGUUGUUAUAUCUGUGAAAUUUGCUAAUGUUGCAACCAUUGAAAUAAAGUGUUUGUUUACAUAACAGCAGUGGCAUUUCUCCUCCUCUUCCUUGUGGUUUUGUCCAACUAGAUGUUAUGAGUGGCAGUUGCAGUGACUGCUAAGUGUUUAAAUGAUGACACCAUUAUGUGAGGUGAUUUUGAAAUGAGAGAUUCCAGCCAAGAAUUACAUCUGCUCUCAUCUCCUUCAAAUCAUACUCUCUGGCUGUGCAGAUUAUGAUUGAUUUGUUUGUGACAGAUUGCAGGAAACAGUCAUUGAUUUUUCAAUAUUUUACCUUAAAAUUAUUUACAGUUGUAACCAAGGGGAGGUAUUUCCAUGGGCUGUCAGGCCCUGAAAGACUGGGAUAAUAUUCCCUGCUCCCUGACAAGACAAAUUACCCGUAAUGAGUGCAGUAGCUGAAGGGUAUACUUUUAUUUUAAAAUAUGUCAAUAACCCAGUGACUAAACGAAUAUUGAUUCAGCAUAAUGAAGCCUGAGUAAUGUGAAAAUGAGCUCUUCAAGGAGCAUGGUAAAGACUUUCUUUUUAGCUUGUAGCAAGAAGCUUUUCAUUUUUUACUGUUAGGUAGUUGAAAUGUGCAGUCUUAAACAAGUCAUCCUUAAACAUUGGUAAUAUGUGGAGUAAUGUAACAAAAGAACUUCGGGGUUUUUUUCUGUUUAUUUUUUCUCUUUUUUUCUCCAAGUUGUUUUUUCUUCAAUAUGUUUCAGUAGAUCAAACACAUGAAGAGGAAAAUGCAAGUUAUCCAGGGCAGAGAUAGAAAUACUAUAGGUGUAAAUAUAUUUUGCAGUAAUAUUCUUCAGUUAGCCUAAUGGCAUUUUUAAUGUGGAAUCACAAUAUGGGCAUGGGAAUAUAUCUAAAUAAACUGUAGAUUUAAUUUCAUAUUAUUGACUUCUUGACAUACUGAUGUGUGUUCUGUGUGAUCAGUCUAAUAUUCUUGUCCUUCAACAGUUUAGAAUGGUUUAUGAGCACCUAGAUAUACUGUGGUAUAAAACUCAGUUACCAUAAUGCACAUUUUUCUUACCAUAACAUAUAACACUGCAUGUUUCUUACCACAUGAGAAUUCUCAAGCAGUAAUUCAUUUAAAUUGCAGUAAUUUAUGCAGUGCCAUAGGUGUGGUGUGGAAAAGCAUCUAAUAGAUUAAUACGAAUGUUCUCAAUUGUUCAGGGUGAGGAUUAAAGAACAUAUUGAGGUACAGUUUUUUUAAACAUUAGAAGUAUUGAACACUAAAAAAACCCCCGCCCUAUCAUGUGAAAGGAUCAAUUGGUCAUUUGUAUUCAAGAGCAUCGUGCAACAUGGGGAAGGCUCUGCAGAAGCACUGGGUAUAAAUAGCCGUGUAAUCCAGACAUAGACAAAAGAUAUUUUCUUGGGCUGUUUGUGUGUAAUGUGUCAAUUAUGAAAUAAUGUCAUAGCCAGAAGCAUUUAGUCAGCAUGUUUGGGCAUGAAGACGACUUUUCUUAUUUUCUAAGGACUAACUUCAAUUGCAUCCAAGUAGCUUGUGAAAAUCUUCAGAAGGAUGUUUUCCUAUCAGCACACAGGUGAUUUUUUUUUUUUCAAAUGUCAUUCCUUUAGCACAGCUAGAAACUAUUUCAGGAGGCACUUGAGAACCUGUGGCAUUGAGAGUUAAAUGGCAACCCUGGAAUGUGAGAUAUGUUCCUGUUUUUAAUUUGCUAGUUUUCAAAAAAAAGCGUGAUGUACGCUUGAGUGGAUUACAACUAAAUAAUUGUAGUUUUGAGAGGAUUUGUGCAUAUUUUCAAAAUGUUGGAUAUAAUAAUAAUUAUUAAUAAACUGAAAUAUAUAGCUGUGACAACAGGAGAAUUUUGGGCUCUUGUAAAUGUUACAAGAGAUCUACAAAUGUUACAGUGUUGAACCUUAACUUCCUGCUCAGUGACAUUUUACACACCUCAGGUUCUCUGCCUGUUCUUUGUUUCUGUACCUUUUUGUUUCUUUGGCCAACAGCAGGAGAUGGAAGGGGAGGAUUUGUUCAGUAUCUUUCUCACAGUAGCGAGGAAGAGGGAGACUGUUCAGGGCUGGGUGCCAGCUCUGCUGUAGACUGAAGGGCAAAUAAAUGUUUGUUUUAACAACAUCUCCUUUUCCUGGAUAACACUGCAUGAGCUCAUGGUACCAAACUGAGUAACAGCAGAUCUCUGCUUGCAGGCCAUUGGCAUUUUUCACUUGCAAGACAGGCAACAACUCUGGCUUUGCUGCCUUUCCCAAAGAUGAGUUUAUUUAUUGAAUAUCUGACAUUCCAGCUCAGGCCUGAACCGUGUGCUUGACAAUAAAGGCAAAUGGUGCAUUUUUGGCUUUUUAUUUUAAUUUGUGGGUGAUACUGGAGUUGUCUGAUGAUGGCGCCUUGGAAGCUCUGCAGUUUAUUCAUAAAUUUUUCUGUCUUAGAAUUGUGACAAGUGUUAGUCCACUUUCAAGUGAACUAUGGAGGAGAAAAUAAAAAUCUCAGACAAAAAAAAAUGCUAAAUAAUUAAUUGGUUAAAAGUUCUUGUGGCAUUUGGGAUCCCCCAGGAGCAGAACAUAAGGCCAAUUGUUGUUCAGUUAGGUAAAAGUAAAAGUAGAAAACACUGUGAAAUUAAGAUCAUGGGUAGAGAACAGAAUAAUAUCAUUUGUGGCAGAGAUGAGGCUAUUGGUCAGUCAUGACGGGCUAGUAUUUAGGGGCUGUAUGUCUCUCAGCACUCAGCAACUUGCAAAUUAUGACCCAUUUCAGUGAAUUUCACAGUGAACACAAUGCAUCAGUAUGUUGUUGUAGUGGGUGGUUUUGUGUAACAAUUCAGAUCUUGAUUCCAUUAUGGAUAAAGUAGCAACCAAAACCAAUGGUGGAUUUUAAUUUUUUUUUCCUAUUUACUCAGCCUCUGUGUUAUCUAUCUGCUCUACAGACCAGCCAACUAAAACAAGUUUAGUUUAAAGUGAGAGAGGAGAGCAUGUCGAUGUAGGUGAUGGAAAUUGUGCUUACUGGCUAAGCCUUCUCAUGCUGCCUCCUUCCCAUUGCCAAAUUACUGAUUUGAAAUCUAAGAACUAAGGUGUGAUGGAAUCCAAAUCAGAGUAGACAGCACUAUGUAGAAUUUGCUCAUCUAAAUGUCAUGAUUACUUGAAACCAAUUCUUUGUGCUCUAAACUGCAUUUUGAAGGUGUUGCUUCUUUUUGUUUAAAUUUGUGGACAAAUUACUGCUUUCCCAAAAGCAAUUCUGUAUAUGCAAAUAUUUUAUUCUUUUGGAAUGACCAUUUAUGUACUAAAAGCUGUCAGUAGUGCAGAUAGUAUCAUGGUCUUUGGUGUGUUGGCAUAUGGUUUAUGGUGAACUGUAAGACUGAGAUAACCCUAUAAAAAUAUCUGAGGGAUCCAAGAUGCUGUGAGAGUCUUGCUUAACUGCAAUGGUUAAAAAGGCAUGGCUGACUUAAUGCAUGAGUGUUGAAAUCUGUGUCUGGAAUUAUGGAAACAAGUUGAGAAACAUGAACAGAAUUGAUUGUCGAUUAUUUUCCUUUGUAAGAGCUGGGAAAAGAUAUAUUGUGCUUUUCUGUGGUCUUUAAAAGUCUGCAGUGUCCUUUUUUUUUUCUUUUUUUGUUUUCUUUUGUUGACUUAUCUUUUAAUAUGAAGUGUCAUUCCCAAAAUGAAGUAGUGUCCUUGGGCUGGUGGCAACAGCUGGAGUUGCAGAAUUCAUAAAUAAUUCAGAGAGGGAUAAAGGGUAGGGGAAUUUUUUUGUCAUUUGAAUCUUUAGUAUGUGCACACAUUUCAUUUUAGAUAUGGCAUCAUUUGAAUUCAUUCAGUAUGAUGAUUGCACUGACCUGUCAUAUUUAUUUUGAUGUCCCUUCGAAGGACCAUAUGCUCUGUCCUCAGCAUGAAAAUGAUGCAAGUUGCAAACAGAGAGGCAGCUCUGUUCCUGUAGGGAUGGAGCCCUCACUUCCCAUUGUCACGUCAGUGGAUGUACAGCUGCACUGCAGUAGAGAAGGUGGAGUUGUUAUGUCAGUGUGGUGACUAAGUGGCGGUGUAGCCUAGCAAAAGGUGGAGAAAAGGGCAAAACCCAUUUGCAUCAAGGUACUGUAUGGCAUUGAAAACUCAGCUGUCACUGAGGGCCAGUUGGUGUGAGGAGCCUGGCAUGUGGAAGGUGGAAAGGAUUAAAGCCAGCUAGAAAUCUGCCAAGGUGGAGGUGUGCCAUGGUAGCUUUAAUGUGGGAAUACAAUUAAUUACUCUGUGUGUUGGAAGUGGGGUUGCCAUGCACACAACCUCCUGGGGUUGCACGGGACUUAGUCUGGAUAUGCAAGGCUCAGAGCUUUUUUCUUUACCCAAUCCAUGUCUUCCUUUCCUCUUGAAGCUGCUUACUUAGUCAGAAAAAAUCUUAGGUAAUGUUUUUUGGGGGGGAACAGGGGAAGGAAAUAUACAGUUGUAGUUUACCUGUUCACUAAUUCUGCUGUAACCAUUGCAUCUGGUCCUUCAUUUAUUUCAUUGGUAUGUUCCUGUGGAUGAGUGGUGCAUUUUCCAGAAGUUACAGGCUCAAGUUCAACCAUGUCCCAUUAGUAAUGAACUGCAUGAUAAUGAGUAAUGUCUGGUCCCUAUUGGCUAAAGCACUGGCUGGUAUUAGCAAUUCACAGUUGGUGGAUAACAGGGCUCUGUUACCAGGACUUUGUUACUGUUACCUUUGUAUGUAAUAUUAACGCCACAGGAUUGCAGCCACCUCUGUGUUUUCAUGGUGUAAGGUGUAGCAGGGAGCAGUGAUUCUUCCUAUGAAGUACAUGGUCCACUGUGCCCGUGCCAGAGGCAGAAGGAAGCCAAUGAAGUGCAGGUUAGUGAAAUACAAUAACUGGAGCCUGGGAAUGAGAAUAACUGUAUGAAAAAUUGUUUCU